GGCCUGGUGGCCAAGUGGUAAGGCAGAGCUCUGCAAAAGCUCCAUUCGCCGGUUCGAAUCCGGCCCAGGCCUCCA
RNAcentral lists this transfer RNA (75 nucleotides) under Nannocystaceae bacterium. RNAcentral describes it as "tRNA-Cys". It matches the Rfam family "tRNA". Rfam says of the family: Transfer RNA (tRNA) molecules are approximately 80 nucleotides in length. RNAcentral also lists the same sequence under 1 other name. The record is from RNAcentral. Lineage: Bacteria; Pseudomonadati; Myxococcota; Nannocystales; Nannocystaceae.